This 301-nucleotide ribosomal RNA is filed under the name uncultured bacterium. RNAcentral's name for it is "partial 16S ribosomal RNA". It matches the Rfam family "Bacterial small subunit ribosomal RNA", at positions 509 to 808 of the family's 1533-position model. The record is from RNAcentral.
CAGCAGCCGCGGUAAUACGAAGGGGGCUAGCGUUGCUCGGAAUCACUGGGCGUAAAGGGUGCGUAGGCGGGUCUUUAAGUCAGGGGUGAAGUCCUGGAGCUCAACUCCAGAACUGCCUUUGAUACUGAAGAUCUUGAGUUCGGGAGAGGUGAGUGGAACUGCGAGUGUAGAGGUGAAAUUCGUAGAUAUUCGCAAGAACACCAGUGGCGAAGGCGGCUUACUGGCUCGAAACUGACGCUGAGGCGCGAAAGCGUGGGGAGCAAACAGGAUUAGAUACCCCGUGUAGUCCCUGUCUCUUAUA